CCCAAAAUUAAAGGGUCAGAUCUCUCAAAUCCGCCCCUCCCUCAAAAUCACUCUCUGAAGCCGUUCAUCUCCCCCAAAUCCUAUGCUUUCCGAAGGUGUAUGAAGCCGUUCUCUUUUGCGAAGCUCUUUCAUUUCAAAAUUAGCUGCUUCCUAAGUUCAGGAUGUCCAGUUGAUGAUAACAGAGCUUGAAAAUGUAAGUCCUCUGGGAGGAAUUAUGGCUCAGCACAUUUCAAGAUCUUCAUGCAGGUAGCUGUUACUUUUUCAUAUAUAGUAUGCAGGAAUAAAGGCACAAUUCGAUGAAAUACUUGCUUCGGGGGGAUUCCCCCUUGUCCCGGUGAUGUAGUACGCCUUCUUCGACCUCCACAGUCUCUACCUAUUUCACAUAGAGUAUAUGUUCAAUACAGAGAUGUGACUAAGGAUCCCAGCAGUGAUGAAGAUGAUGAGGAUUACUAUGUGGGUAAUAAACUGCUGCGUUGUUAAAGUUGAAUGUUGUCUAGAUAAUCCAAACUAUAUACUUUAUGGUGGUUUAUUUGAAUUCUUAAGUGUUUUUGAAUGCAUUAAAAUUUUAAAGUAGUAUGAACAA
Molecule: long non-coding RNA, 583 nt
Organism: Capsicum annuum
Lineage: Eukaryota; Viridiplantae; Streptophyta; Magnoliopsida; Solanales; Solanaceae
Exons: 2
Source: RefSeq, a predicted model, not a curated record